This 2129-nucleotide long non-coding RNA is filed under the name Lathyrus oleraceus (garden pea). RNAcentral describes it as "Pisum sativum (pea) long non-coding RNA (PSAT_LNC009857)". Lineage: Eukaryota; Viridiplantae; Streptophyta; Magnoliopsida; Fabales; Fabaceae. The record is from RNAcentral.
ACAAAUGUCCCAAUCGAGGAGCAUCAUCUGGGUCUUAAGCUUUUUGUAACAUUGUAUUUCUGUAACCUUCAAUCAUUAUAUAUCAUUAACUUUUUGUUACAACGAGGUUCACAACAAACAUCAGUACAAAAUAAGUUAUCUGAAAAUAGAAAUAUUUCUAACUGAUUACAACAAUCAAAUGGAUGUCAUCUCGACCGAACAUCAUUUCCCUAGUAUCCUUAUCAGUCUUCAUUCGCACCCAACCAAAGAUACUGUCAAGUCUCUCAAUACUUCUAAUUUUUUCCCCUUCUGGUAUUUUCCCAUCUAACCAACGAAUCAGCUCCCUCUUCAGUUGAUCGAACAUAGUGAUGUUCCAGAACAACAUCAACAUCUGAGGUUUGUCUCUCGCAUAAAUCACCUUUUUGUAUCGGCGACGAACACCAAACAUGAUUGCCAAAUGAUUAAAUGAGGUGUGGAACAAUGACUCAUACAACACAUCUAUUUAUAACAAAAAAAUUGCAUUUUACACUGAGGCGUCAAUCCAAUUGGCGCCUCCUCUCAAGUUAUAGACAGGGGCGCCAAUCCAAUUGGUUAGGGCACCUGCCAUAGUCAACCCAAUUGGCGUCUGCAUUCAAUUUUUAAGAGGAGUCGCCAAUUCAAUUAGGGUCUCCUCCUAAAAAUGGGAUAGUUUGGGAUUUUUUUUGAAAUCAGGGAUAUUUUGAAAAUUUCUUUUAAAAAGUGCGUUAUUUUUGUAAAAAAUUCACACUUUUUUAUAGUAUAAAUAUAUUGUAAAAAUUAAACUUGUAUUAUGCAUUGCUAUUUGCUUUAAAUAUCAUAAUUUUGUAUCGUGUCGUAAGACAAAACUUUCUUAUAUAUUAAUUUUUUUUCUUAGUAAGAAUUUUGAAAACUGCUCCUAAAAAUUAUUAGUCAUAAUAAAAUAUAAUAGUGAAGAGUAAUUGAAAGAUUUUAAUUCAAUUAAUUAAAAUACUCAAAAUUGAUGAUAUAAUAUCAAAUAAUUAAAUCAAAAAUAUUUUUUUAUGAAUAAUAAAUUAAAGUUAAAUGAAAAAUAAAUAAGAUUGAAUUACUGUCAAAGAUAAUCUAAAAGAUAAAAUACAAUUCACCACACAAAAAAAUGUCAUAACACAUACGGAUCAACAUAAAAAUGCAAUAUGAUUCCAAGGCAAACAUUACCAACAGAUAACCACUUCUCCUCCUUAACCAUCACAAAUGCUAUUGUUUGAAACUAAAUAAAAGACUUAAUUGUUACACAAUAUUAUCUAAUCACCAAAGCAAAUUCAAAAAAUAUGAAUUGAAUCACAAUACCAUAGUUCUUUGGAAGGCUUCCAAUCAAAAACUACUUUUAAGACAUAACUCCAAAACCCGGCUGCAAAAACACACACAACAGCCGAAUCGAAAAAAUUAAAGCAUUUCAAUCGAAAAAAUAAACAUGACUUAUAUUAUCGUGCAGCUAACUGUUCACCGGGAGUAAAACCCUAAACACAAAAGAGACAUAAGAAUAAGAAUACAAAGUUGAAUAGAAAUAAACAUUGAAAUAGAAUUUAUAGCAAUAGAUACACAUACGUUGGAACAGAUCUAUAGAAGAUGCGAUAAGGAACGGAUUGGUUGAAACUAUACUAAAUCGAUGCGGCAAAUCGUGAUGUGCAAUAUCGAGGAGGUGGAAUUGGAAAGAUUGAAGAUGAUUUUUGAAACAUAAAAGGGUAACAAUAUGGUUAGGAAAAAUUGAAUGGUUCAGAAACAACAAGGUUGAAGAACAUGAAGCAUGAUGUGUAGAAAUAACUUGAGAAUUUUGUUAGUUCAAAAUAGUUAGUUUCAGAUCCAAAGUGAAGUAUGGAUGGUAAAAGGGAAAUGGAGAAAUGGAAAAGAUAGUUUUUAGUUGUGAGCGCAGAGCUGAAGCUGUCCUUAGGGAAGAAAGAAGAGAGAAGGUUGAGAUAAAAGGGUGUUGGAAGAAGGAAGAGAUAUGUUAGAUAAGAGAUACUAUGUGAUAGUAUAAGGAAGAGAAAUGUAAGAAAAUAUGUAUUGAUAAAUCAUCACGAGGGGGAAACAUAUUGUGGGAGAAAACACUCACCCAAAUAAGUGAGGGAAACAUCACAUAUUCAUCCAAAGUCCUAAGGUGAUAGAUGUUUGGGUCG